Molecule: ribosomal RNA, 578 nt
Filed under: Semotilus atromaculatus (creek chub)
Lineage: Eukaryota; Metazoa; Chordata; Actinopteri; Cypriniformes; Leuciscidae
Description: partial large subunit ribosomal RNA
Rfam family: Bacterial large subunit ribosomal RNA
Source: RNAcentral
CGCCUCUUGCAAUACACUAAGUAUAAGAGGUCCAGCCUGCCCAGUGACUACGGGUUCAACGGCCGCGGUAUUCUGACCGUGCAAAGGUAGCGCAAUCACUUGUCUCUUAAAUAGAGACCUGUAUGAAUGGCUAGACGAGGGCUUAACUGUCUCCCCCUUCCAGUCAGUGAAAUUGAUCUAUCCGUGCAGAAGCGGGUAUAAAUUUACAAGACGAGAAGACCCUUUGGAGCUUAAGGUACAAAAUUCAACCACGUCAAACAACUCCAUAAGAAGCAAAAACUUAGUGGCACAUGGACCUUUACCUUCGGUUGGGGCGACCAUGGAGGAAAAACGAGCCUCCCAGUGGACCGGGCCAUAACCCCUAAAGCCAAGAGAGACAUCUUUAGGCCGCAGAAUAUCUGACCAACAAUGAUCCGGCCAAUAAAGCCGAUCAACGAACCAAGUUACCCUAGGGAUAACAGCGCAAUCCUCUCCCAGAGUCCAUAUCUACGAGGGGGUUUACGACCUCGAUGUUGGAUCAGGACAUCCUAAUGGUGCAGCCGCUAUUAAGGGUUCGUUUGUUCAACGAUUAAAGUCCU